UGUGCCAGCAGCCGCGGUAAUUCCAGCUCCAAUAGCGUAUAUUAAUGUUGUUGCCGUUAAAAAGCUCGUAGUCGAACUUCGGCCUUUGCCGCCCGGUCCGCCUAUUUGGGUGUGUACUGGAGCGGUGGAGGCUUACCUCGUGGUGAACUGCCAUGUCCUUUACUGGGUGUGGUAGGGAACCAUGACUUUUACUGUGAAAAAAUUAGAGUGUUCAAAGCAGGCUUACGCCCGAAUACAUUAGCAUGGAAUAAUAAAAUAGGACGUGCGGUCCUAUUUUGUUGGUUUCUAGGAUCGCCGUAAUGAUUAAUAGGGAUAGUUGGGGGCAUUCGUAUUCAAUUGUCAGAGGUGAAAUUCUUGGAUUUAUUGAAGACGAACUACUGCGGAAGCAUUUGCCAAGGAUGUUUUCAUUGAUCAAGAACGAAGGUUGGGGGAUCGAAAACGAUCAGAUACCGUUGUAGUCUUAACAGUAAACGAUGCCGACUAGGGAUCGGAUGAGGUUUUUAAUGACUCAUUCGGCACCUGAAGAGAAAUCUUUAAGUCAGGUUCGGGGGGGAGUAUGGUCGCAAAGCUGAAACUUAAAGGAAUUGACGGAAGGGCACCACCAGGUGUGGAGCCUGCGGCUUAAUUUGACUCAACACGGGGAAACUCACCACGUCCAGACACGACAAGGAUUGACAGAUUGAUAGCUCUUUCUUGAUUUCGUGGUUGGUGGUGCAUGGCCGUUCUUAGUUGGUGGAGUGAUUUGUCUGGUUAAUUCCGAUACGAACGAGACCUUAACCUGCUAAAUAGCCCGGCCGACUUUGGGUUGGUCGCUGGCUUCUUAGAGGGACUAUCGAC
This 837-nucleotide ribosomal RNA is filed under the name uncultured fungus. RNAcentral's name for it is "SSU rRNA". It matches the Rfam family "Eukaryotic small subunit ribosomal RNA", at positions 563 to 1427 of the family's 1831-position model. Lineage: Eukaryota; Fungi. The record is from RNAcentral.